UAGCUUCAGCGAUGGAUCGGUCGAUUCGCGUAUCGAUGAAAAACGCAGCUAGCUGCGUUAUUUACCACGAAUUGCAGACGCUUAGAGUGGUGAAAUUUUGAACGCAUAGCGCCGUUGGGUUUUCCCUUCGGCACGUCUGGUUCAGGGUUGUUAAUGAAUUUCUACAGUGUGGCUAAAUCUAACACUGUUUGUCGAAUGGUUAUUAUCAAAUAUUGUGAUAAUUCCCAUUUCAGUACAAGAAUAAUACAUGCAACAUGAUGUUAAUGUUGUAACGACAUUAAUGUUCCUGUAUGAUGUGAACGUGUUGUCACUGUUUAAAUGUACUCAGUGAAUUUGAGAUUGAUUUAAACAGGGACAUGUAUGACAAUAAUGUUCAAUUAUCAUUUGUAUUGCAACCUGAUCUCAGGCGUGAUUACCCGCUGAACUUAAGCAUAUCAUUUAGCGGAGGAAAAG
This 453-nucleotide ribosomal RNA is filed under the name Trichostrongylus vitrinus. RNAcentral's name for it is "eukaryotic LSU rRNA". The stretch from base 1 to 150 matches the Rfam family "5.8S ribosomal RNA". The record is from RNAcentral. Lineage: Eukaryota; Metazoa; Nematoda; Chromadorea; Rhabditida; Trichostrongylidae.